This 460-nucleotide ribosomal RNA is filed under the name uncultured bacterium. RNAcentral's name for it is "partial 16S ribosomal RNA". It matches the Rfam family "Bacterial small subunit ribosomal RNA", at positions 338 to 795 of the family's 1533-position model. The record is from RNAcentral.
CCUACGGGAGGCAGCAGUGAGGAAUAUUGGUCAAUGGGCGGAAGCCUGAACCAGCCAAGUAGCGUGCAGGAUGACGGCCUUACGGGUUGUCAACUGCUUUUAUACGGGAAUAACGCGCCUUACGUGUAGGGCUUUGCAUGUACCGUAUGAAUAAGGACCGGCAAAUUCCGUGCCAGCAGCCGCGGUAAUACGGAAGGUCCGGGCGUUAUGCGGAUUUAUUGGGUUUAAAGGGAGCGUAGGCGGCAUGGCAAGCGAGCUGUGAAAUGUCCGGGCGCAACCCGGGCCUUGCAGCGCGAACUGGCGUGCUUGAGUCUGCGGAAGGCAGGCGGAAUUCGUGGUGUAGCGGUGAAAUGCUUAGAUAUGACGAAGAACCCCGAUUGCGAAGGCAGCUUGCUGCAGCGGAACUGACGCUGAUGCUCGAAAGCGCGGGUAUCGAACAGGAUUAGAUACCCCUGUAGUC